GAUGAACGCUGGCGGCGUGCCUAAUACAUGCAAGUCGAGCGAACAGACGAGGAGCUUGCUCCUCUGACGUUAGCGGCGGACGGGUGAGUAACACGUGGAUAACCUACCUAUAAGACUGGGAUAACUUCGGGAAACCGGAGCUAAUACCGGAUAAUAUAUUGAACCGCAUGGUUCAAUAGUGAAAGACGGUUUUGCUGUCACUUAUAGAUGGAUCCGCGCCGCAUUAGCUAGUUGGUAAGGUAACGGCUUACCAAGGCAACGAUGCGUAGCCGACCUGAGAGGGUGGUCGGCCACCCUUGAACUGGGACACGGUCCAGGCUCCUAAGGGAAGGAGCAGUAGGGAAUCUUACGCAAUAGGCGAAAGCUUGGCGGAGCAACGCCGCGUGAGUGAUGGAAGUCUUCGGAUCGUAAAACUCUGUUUUUAGGGGAAAACCAAUUUGUAAGUAACUAAGCACGUCUUGACGGUAACUAAUCAAAAAGCCACGGCUAACUACGUG
This 497-nucleotide ribosomal RNA is filed under the name uncultured bacterium. Its description in RNAcentral is "partial 16S ribosomal RNA". It matches the Rfam family "Bacterial small subunit ribosomal RNA", at positions 28 to 507 of the family's 1533-position model. The record is from RNAcentral.